This 256-nucleotide ribosomal RNA is filed under the name uncultured bacterium. Its description in RNAcentral is "partial 16S ribosomal RNA". It matches the Rfam family "Bacterial small subunit ribosomal RNA", at positions 521 to 776 of the family's 1533-position model. The record is from RNAcentral.
UAAUACGAAGGGGGCUAGCGUUGCUCGGAAUCACUGGGCGUAAAGGGUGCGUAGGCGGGUCUUUAAGUCAGAGGUGAAAUCCUGGAGCUCAACUCCAGAACUGCCUUUGAUACUGAGGAUCUUGAGUCCGGAAGAGGUGAGUGGAACUGCGAGUGUAGAGGUGAAAUUCGUAGAUAUUCGCAAGAACACCAGUGGCGAAGGCGGCUCACUGGUCCGGUACUGACGCUGAGGCACGAAAGCGUGGGGAGCAAACAGG